This 496-nucleotide ribosomal RNA is filed under the name uncultured bacterium. RNAcentral's name for it is "partial 16S ribosomal RNA". It matches the Rfam family "Bacterial small subunit ribosomal RNA", at positions 28 to 506 of the family's 1533-position model. The record is from RNAcentral.
GAUGAACGCUGGCGGCGUGCCUAAUACAUGCAAGUCGAGCGAACAGACGAGGAGCUUGCUCCUCUGACGUUAGCGGCGGACGGGUGAGUAACACGUGGAUAACCUACCUAUAAGACUGGGAUAACUUCGGGAAACCGGAGCUAAUACCGGAUAAUAUAUUGAACCGCAUGGUUCAAUAGUGAAAGACGGUUUUGCUGUCACUUAUAGAUGGAUCCGCGCCGCAUUAGCUAGUUGGUAAGGUAACGGCUUACCAAGGCAACGAUGCGUAGCCGACCUGAGAGGGUGUUCGGCCACACUGAAACUGAGACACGGUCCAGACCCCUACGGGAGGCGGAGGUAGGGAAUCUUCCGCAAUGGGCGAAAGCCUGACGGAGCAACGCCGCGGGGGUGAUGAAGGUCUUCGGAUCGUAAAACUCUGUUAUUAGGGAAAAACAAAUGUGUAAGUAACUAUGCACGUCUGGACGGUACCUAAUCAGAAGGCCACGGCUAACUACGG